UACGAAGGGGCAAGCGUUGUUCGGAAUUACUGGGCGUAAAGGGCGCGCAGGCGGCCGAUCAAGUCAGAUGUGAAAGCCCCGGGCUCAACCUGGGAAUAGCAUUUGGGACUGGUCGGCUAGAGUUCGGGAGAGGAGAGUGGAAUUCCCAGUGUAGAGGUGAAAUUCGUAGAUAUUGGGAAGAACACCGGUGGCGAAGGCGGCUCUCUGGACCGACACUGACGCUGAGGCGGCGAAAAGCGUGGGGAGCAAACAGG
RNAcentral lists this ribosomal RNA (254 nucleotides) under uncultured bacterium. RNAcentral's name for it is "partial 16S ribosomal RNA". It matches the Rfam family "Bacterial small subunit ribosomal RNA", at positions 524 to 776 of the family's 1533-position model. The record is from RNAcentral.